Molecule: ribosomal RNA, 433 nt
Filed under: uncultured bacterium
Lineage: Bacteria
Description: partial 16S ribosomal RNA
Rfam family: Bacterial small subunit ribosomal RNA
Source: RNAcentral
AACGAACGCUGGCGGCAUGCCUAACACAUGCCAGUCGAACGAGACCUUCGGGUCUAGUGGCGCACGGGUGCGUAACGCGUGGGAACCUGCCCUUAGGUUCGGAAUAACUCCCCGAAAGGGGUGCUAAUACCGGAUAAUGUCUUCGGACCAAAGAUUUAUCGCCUUUGGAUGGGCCCGCGUUGGAUUAGCUAGUUGGUAGGGUAAAAGCCUACCAAGGCGACGAUCCAUAGCUGGUCUGAGAGGAUGAUCAGCCACACUGGGACUGAGACACGGCCCAGACUCCGCCGGGAGGCAGCAGUAGGGAAUAUUAGACAAUGGGCGAAAGCCUGAUCCAGCAAUGCCGCGUGAGUGAUGAAGGCCUUAGGGUUGUAAAGCUCUUUUACCCGGGAUGAUAAUGACAGUACCGGGAGAAUAAGCUCCGGCUAACUCCGUG